UUUUUAAGGUCAACGAUGACGCUUUUAUUCCAUUAUCGAUUGCUACUUCUGAACUUAGGUUGUUUUGUAAAGAGAUACGAAUGGCUUAUAUAUGUGCUAAGCUAGUAUGGUGGUUAGAGUUUUCAUAUUGUGGUCCAAUAAUUGAGUUCUUCCACUGUAGUGUUGGAAGUUGAUGGGCUAAGAUUAUAUGAUGGGCUAUUGAUUAAGGAUGUUGGAAUGUAUGUUGAUUAUAUGUUUAAUAAGUGUUUCUAGUCAGUUAUGAUUUGAACUUUUUAUUAUAGUAAUGAAUUGAGAUGGUAGGAGCUGGUGUUGAAGUUGAAACCCUUAAAAAUAU
RNAcentral lists this long non-coding RNA (334 nucleotides) under Brassica napus (rape). RNAcentral's name for it is "long non-coding RNA (BNAP_LNC010467)". Lineage: Eukaryota; Viridiplantae; Streptophyta; Magnoliopsida; Brassicales; Brassicaceae. The record is from RNAcentral.